AGCGGUAACAGAUCUAGCUUGCUAGAUGCUGACGAGCGGCGGACGGGUGAGUAAUGCAUAGGAAUCUGCCCGGUAGUGGGGGAUAACCUGGGGAAACCCAGGCUAAUACCGCAUACGUCCUACGGGAGAAAGGGGGCUUCGGCUCCCGCUAUUGGAUGAGCCUAUGUCGGAUUAGCUGGUUGGUGAGGUAAUGGCUCACCAAGGCGACGAUCCGUAGCUGGUCUGAGAGGAUGAUCAGCCACAUCGGGACUGAGACACGGCCCGAACUCCUACGGGAGGCAGCAGUGGGGAAUAUUGGACAAUGGGGGCAACCCUGAUCCAGCCAUGCCCGUGGGGGUUAAAGAAGGCCCUCGGGUUGUAAAGCACUUUCAGCGAGGAAGAACGCCUGGUGGUUAAUACCCAUCAGGAAAGACAUCACUCGCAGAAGAAGCACCGGCUAACUCCGUGCCAGCAGCCGCGGUAAUACGGAGGGUGCAAGCGUUAAUCGGAAUUACUGGGCGUAAAGCGCGCGUAGGUGGCUUGAUAAGCCGGUUGUGAAAGCCCCGGGCUCAACCUGGGAACGGCAUCCGGAACUGUCAAGCUAGAGUACAGGAGAGGAAGGUAGAAUUCCCGGUGUAGCGGUGAAAUGCGUAGAGAUCGGGAGGAAUACCAGUGGCGAANGCGGCCUUCUGGACUGAUACUGACACUGAGGUGCGAAAGCGUGGGUAGCAAACAGGAUUAGAUACCCUGGUAGUCCACGCCGUAAACGAUGUCGACCAGCCCUUGGGUGCCUAGCGCACUUUGUGGCGAAGUUAACGCGAUAAGUCGACCGCCUGGGGGAGUACGGCCGCAAGGUUAAAACUCAAAUGAAUUGACGGGGGCCCGCACAAGCGGUGGAGCAUGUGGUUUAAUUCGAUGCAACGCGAAGAACCUUACCUACCCUUGACAUCCUGCGAACCC
RNAcentral lists this ribosomal RNA (939 nucleotides) under Halomonas sp. RNAcentral's name for it is "bacterial SSU rRNA". It matches the Rfam family "Bacterial small subunit ribosomal RNA", at positions 65 to 998 of the family's 1533-position model. Lineage: Bacteria; Pseudomonadati; Pseudomonadota; Gammaproteobacteria; Oceanospirillales; Halomonadaceae. The record is from RNAcentral.